AGAGUUUAGCUCCAACCCUGAUCAAACCCACUACCUGUGAUUUUUUAAUGAUCCCAAAGACAUUGAUGAACAGGCUCAGGUGUGUUUGAGUAGGGUUGGAUCUAAACUCUGCACUGGCCCCCCAGGGCAAGAUUUAAAUAACCCUGCUAUACAUCCUAUAAGGUAGCAGUGUAUGCAUUUGUAUGACUUUUGUAAAUGUUAACCUCUAAACCUGUACUGCAAAAUCACCUCACUGUAAAAUCUGAAUUAUUUAAAAAAAAAUAAUCACAUGUCUGUGUGCUUUGUACUGCCAUUUCAGGGUGAAAAAAUAAAUAAAGCUAUAUAUUAAAAAUC
Carassius carassius (crucian carp) is the source of this 333-nucleotide long non-coding RNA. RefSeq lists it as uncharacterized. The record is from RefSeq and is a predicted model, not a curated record. Lineage: Eukaryota; Metazoa; Chordata; Actinopteri; Cypriniformes; Cyprinidae. The transcript has 2 exons.